Molecule: ribosomal RNA, 253 nt
Filed under: uncultured bacterium
Lineage: Bacteria
Description: partial 16S ribosomal RNA
Rfam family: Bacterial small subunit ribosomal RNA
Source: RNAcentral
UACGUAGGGGGCAAGCGUUAUCCGGACUUACUGGGUGUAAAGGGAGCGUAGGCGGUGCAGCAAGUCAGAAGUGAAAGCCCGGGGCUCAACUCCGGGACUGCUUUUGAAACUGUUGAAUUAGAUUGCAGGAGAGGUAAGUGGAAUUCCUAGUGUAGCGGUGAAAUGCGUAGAUAUUAGGAGGAACACCAGUGGCGAAGGCGGCUUACUGGACUGUAAAUGACGCUGAGGCUCGAAAGCGUGGGGAGCAAACAGG